RNA transcript from Hippoglossus stenolepis (Pacific halibut), 3651 nucleotides. RefSeq lists it as uncharacterized. The record is from RefSeq and is a predicted model, not a curated record. NCBI's taxonomy places the organism in Eukaryota, Metazoa, Chordata, Actinopteri, Pleuronectiformes, Pleuronectidae. The transcript has 6 exons.
AUCUCAUGAAAGAGGUGAACAGGACGGACCGGUCCAGAGGGCGGGGACAAAGAAAUACAAAGGCUGCGGUGUCCCAGAAAGUUUUAUUCUUUGCAGAGGACACGCACAAAAUAAGAGGUGAACAGGACGGACCGGUCCAGAGGGGCGGGGACAAAGAAGUAUAAAGGAUCCUGUUUCACAGAAAUAUUCUUUGCAGAGGACACGCACAAAGUAAGCACUUUGAAUGGACUUGUUAUUGAAAUGUGACACAGUGAUAAAGCUGCCACACCUUUACCUGAGCAGACAUGAGGAACAUCAUUUGAUUAACAGAUGAGCAGAACAGGAAGAACAACUUUCUUCAUCUUACUGGAAACGUCUCUUAAUUACACAAAACUGGUCACUCACUGAGGGAAGAUGAUCCCCUGGAUCUUGUUGCUCGUCACACUGACCGCUGACCUCUGUGCAGGAACAUUAGUUGUCAAUGUGAAACAGCCCCGCUAUGAUGCAAAGGUUGACGACAACGUCACUCUGGAAUGGACGUUCACAGCUGAAACCUCAAGAUCCUCCAACGCUCUCUCUAUUAUCUGUGAUCAGACCGUUGACCGGAGAGACUCAAAGAUCCUGUAUCACCUGCAUAAGGGUAUCGAGGUCCAAAGGUCUCAGGACAAACAGUUUUCAGGACGAGUCCAGUGUGACGAAGACAUCCUCAGAGAAGGACGACUCAGACUUCAUGUGUCCAGAAUCAGGAGUGAAGACUCAGGCCAGUACGUGUGUGAAGUCAACAGGAAUAAUGAUGGAAACUAUGGGAAAUGUCAACUCGUCGUCGGCAAGGCCACUGAUCAGCCCAAAAGCCAGAGACCAACCGUGACUUCACAACCAGAGAGAAAGAUGGAAUUGUACAUCCCACUGGUUGCAGCUGUUGUAGCUCUAGUUCUCACAGCAGUUGGGAUUACAGCAGCUCUGCUGGUCAAACGCCGCUCUGCUUCUAGUUGUGAUGGCAGAAAAUCUAUUAGUAAGACAGAAGAGCACUUAGCGAGAGAAAAGGUAGGUCACCCAGAGUGUGGACUUCUCUCUGACACUGUCUCUUUACCCUGUUAGUCUGUGAUCCCGCUCCUGCCUCCUAGCACAUUGGGAUGGAUAAAACUUGUAAAUGGGUCCGACACAACAGGAGAGUUAAGACUCAUGGUAGCAGCUGGGAGAACAACAGGGUGACAGAUGAAUGAACUCACUUAAAUCUAUGUCUUCAUGAUUCAUGACAUCCUGGGGUUUUUCUGGCCUCACCCGUAGACAGCUGAUUGUUCAGUGUUCCAGGAGUCAGCUAAAGCUAAAGAAAACAUUUUGAAUUAAGAACACAAGAGGCAGAAAACAGGUAUGAGAAAUAUAUCAUAUUAAAUAUAAAUACAUUAGUAUGGAUAAAAAGAAGGCAUAAACAUUAACACUACAGUGAUUUACUAAAUAAAAAACAAUAUGAAGAAGGCUACAUGGGAAAUAAUAAAUAGUGUAAUAAAAUCUAUCAUUUUCAACAGCAGGAUUUCCUGAAAGGAUGAAAACAGCCAAAGUGAUUUCACUUUAUAAAACUGGAGAUAAGCUACAGACCAGUACCACAAUACCACAGUUCCACAAUUUUCUAAAUAUUACAGAAAUUAUGUAGCCAGGUUUGACCAAUUCAUAGAUGGAUACAUUAUUUUAACUAGUAGUCAAUAUAGUUACUGGUGAUAAAAUGUAUUGCCUGUAAAUAAAAGUGGGAGUGUCCGCGGCGCAGAGAGCUGUGUCCCCUGAAAUCUGCAACAACCAAUUAAAGAGCAGCCUCAGGUCACGUGGCUGCCAAAAGUAUCAGGACCCAAAUUCACUUUGGUUCGGCCGGCGUCCUGCACCAGGUAAUAUGUAUGUCCAGAAAUUAACCAAAUACAAUUUGAAAACAACUUAUAUUGAAUGCUCACAGGUUCUUACGGUCUAACAGGAUAAUUGUACGAGUAAGCUAAUAUUAUAUAAUUAAACUAUGUUUAUACAGGUUUCUUUGUCUCAGGAUGUUGGGGGGGGCGGUGCCCCAGUGCUCCGUAUUAACCAGCCGCCACUGGAUCAUACCAUACUUAGCAAAUAUGGUAUCAGAGGGGUGGCAGAUCAUACUUUAAAGGGAUUGUUCACCCAAAAAUGACAAUUCACUCAUUAUCUACUCACCACUAGGGGGGGUGAAGUGUUUGAGUCCACAACACAUUUGUUGAGUUUCUGGGGUAAACAGAGCAGCAGCCGAAUCCAAUUCAACUGAAGAUAUUAGAGACUUAUCUUCAGACGUGAUAAAACAACAGAAAAACAACAUAACCUGCCUCCAUACUGCUCGUGUGGUGUCAUCCAAGUGUCUGCAAGCCCCGACGUUCAAAUUCGACUCGAAACAAGGUCAUUUACAUCGUGUUUUAAGCCUAAAACUCCACCACAAGUGGCUAAGCUAGCGGACGCUAGCAUUUCCGAGGACUGAAUGCACCUGGAAGAUACCAGAGGACGUUUAGGCUUAAAACCCGGUGUAAACGACGCCGUUUUGAAUUUUUGGGUGAACUAUCCCUUUAAACAUUGACACACUUGUCCCUCAUGUUACGAACUGUUUCUUCUAAUCCGUGUGGAAAAGAUAGUUCUUUUGUUGAUGUGUUCAGUUACAUGCAGCAUCUGUUGCACUUCUGUCCGUCCGAGUGACGAAGCCUCACAUGUGACUCUCUGAGGUUUCUGAGUAUCUUUCCCCUGUUAACUGUUUUUGUUAGUUUCACUCUGGUUGAGGGUUAAGAACAGAGGAUGUCACACCUUGUUAAGCCCUAUGAGCCAAACUGUGAUUUUUGAAUAUGGUCCAUACAAACACAACUUGAUUCAUUGAUUGAUUGAAUAUUGAAAAGAAAGUUUGUUCAGAUAAACUUUAUAAAAUCAAAAUUUCAUUUAGUAUAUUAAUGAUUUUGUUUAUGUAUCCAAACUGUUAAAGUGUAUUCUGUUUAUGUAUGACACUAUUUUAUUUUACUCAGGGAAAGAUUUAACACAGGUCCUGGAUGUGGUUGAAAAAGAAUUGGACAAAAUGAAAUAAUGGUUUGAUAUAAAUAAAUUAUCAAUGAAUCUUGAGAAAACAAACUUCAGGAGUUAGUUACCGAGUUAGUUACUAGCUUUAUUUAGUAACCGAGGGAAAAACUGUGAUGCAUCAAUAAAUAUGGAAGGUAUUGAAAUUUGAAGAGUAAAGGAAACUGAGUUUAUAUAUCUUGAAACAUUUUGUCGCACUUAAAUGGCACUUAGCACUUUGUAGUUUGGCUUUCUUUAAGAAAAUUGUACUUUCUUGAUUCUUGUUGUUCUGGGUUUGUUCCCUCAGGGUCGAGGCACUUAUUGUGAGUAGCUUUGGAUAAAAGCGUCAGCUCAAUGAAAUGUAACUACAUAACUAAAUGUAACUAAGAUUCUAGGUGUUAUGAUAGAAAUGGAAAUAACUUACCCAAAUGUGAAAAUAUCUAAAACAAGAGCUCUGUUACACAAGGUAAAAGUUUGAUAAUAAAGCAUUGUUCAUUUGAUAUAAAGCUCACUGAUUUGUUCCAUAUCUGACCUACUGUGAUGAGGUUUGAGGAAGUGCUUGCAAAACAUGUACUCAUUAAGUUUUAAAGCUUAAGAACGAUUUAUUUUGCAUUUAUAAUUAAUAAACAUUCCUUCAGUGCA